Molecule: long non-coding RNA, 7645 nt
Filed under: Lactuca sativa (garden lettuce)
Lineage: Eukaryota; Viridiplantae; Streptophyta; Magnoliopsida; Asterales; Asteraceae
Description: long non-coding RNA (LSAT_LNC001055)
Source: RNAcentral
UCCCAACCAUGAUGUCUCUGAAAUAUAACAUAAAGAAUAUCAGAGACUCGCUUGAGUAAACUCGCACUCGAUAACUCACCCCACUUGUUCCUUGGUACCCAAAGGAUUCUUACUUAGGGUGCGCACUGCUCCGAUGUCUUUAGCAGUACGGGCCCUAUACUACUGUCCACAACGCAUCAGCAUUCACUCAAAGUCCUCCUCCAUGGAUCCCAGAUCACAAGCACUCUAUAUCUGACUGGCAUAGGCUACCCUUCGGUAACCUCUCAUCAGCUCCUCACUGCUACCUACUCGCUCUCAAGCAUCACAUAGCAGCAAAAUCCUUCCUAGGCUAAGGCAUAACAAUUCAGGCCAUUCUAGUGCUAAUAUGAAUACCUAGCCUACUCUAGCAUGCAUAGCAUAUCAUAACAUAUCUCAUAACACAUAAUGUAAGGGUAUUUUGGGAAAUCACCAUUCAGGCGCUGGCUGAUCGUACACACUGCUUCCUUCUGCCUUUCUCAAAAUCUUUCACUUUCUUAGAAAAAUUCUUUAUUUUAUAAAAACCUUUCUCAAUUCCUCAGUUUGAGUUCAGAUCCAUCCGAAGAUGCACCUGAAUCCCUCAAACCAAGGCUCUGAUACCAACUUGUAACGACGUAAAUUUUCAAAACAAAUUUUCAUUUGAAAACAUACUUUCAUUCACACGAUAAUCAUAAAAACAUAAUGUGUCCACUGUAACAUAACAAAACAUAUCUCAAGAUCUCAAUAUCAUAAACUCUAUAAGUGUGUACGGAUCAUGCCGACGCCUUCCCGCGAUCCUCGCUCGCACCUGAAACACAUAACAUAACAACUGUAAGCAUAAAUGAUUAGUGAGUUCCCCAAAAUACCANAUACGCCUUUCCAGGCCAUAACAUAGUAGGAUCUUCCGAUCCAUGUGUCUCAGGGACUUCCGUCCCAAAUUCCGGUAGACCUUCCGGUCCGUAACCUCUUGACCAUCCGGUCCAUAACCUCUAGAACUUCUGGUCUAUAACAUGCAUAACAUACAUAACACAUACAUAUCAAAUAACAACAUACAACUCAUACAUCUCAUAGUAUAUAAGACCUUCCGGUCAUACAUAGGUACCCUUCCAGGUACAAUAUAGUGAGAAGACUCACCUCAACGAAGUUGGAUAAACUCUCGUGCUCAACGUCCCGACUUAGCCUCCUCCCAUUAUUCAAAUAAAUCCUGAUCUGAAUUAUCUCAUGAUCUCAUCUCUACAAACUGGGUAGAAGGCCAUUCUACCCUACCUUGAACUCUCCUGAAUUAGUCUUGACCAGAACCCUAAAGUUAACGAAAUUUAACGGUCAAACUCUUACCCGACUCGUCGAGUGCACAACGGCAACUCGGCGAGUCCAUACGGGUCCUCUAAAUCCUUUCAGACUCUCUUGGCUCGUCGGGUCAUUCUUCCACUCAACGAGCUACACCUGACAUGAAUCGCGGGUCAACCCCGACUCGACUCGUCGAGUCUGCUCAUGGACUCGGCGAGUUCAUUCCAUGCUCACACUCAACUAACCUUCUGAGGUCAGAUCUGUUCCUCUAAUCCAUAGAUAUGACCUUCCUAAGCUCAAUAAAUAUGUAAAGGUUCAAACUUGAUACUCAUGCAACGUCCAAAUGACUGUUCGUGAAGAUUUAGCCCCAAAUACAACAUCCUAAGUCCAAUCCUUUCAUAACUCACCAUAAAGAAAGAUGGAUAACGUCCUUUGGACCACUAUUGGUCCAGAUCUGAAGCCUAAACAUGAUAAGGGACCAUAUCUCUAACAAAUCAUCCCAAUAAAGGGUAUAAAAAACCCUAGAUCCAUGGAUUCUUUAACAAAACAGAAAGAGGAUUGAUAUGCUACCUCAAAGAUGAUGCCCUAUGCUUGAAAUCCACAAAUAUGCAACCUCCUUGGCCUCCUCUAAGCUGGAAUCAACUUCUUCUUGCAAAACCAACCAACAAAGGUCAAAUAUUGGCCUCUUCUCUCUCACAAAUGCCCAAGCACUAUUAUGGUUUCUCUCAAGGGUCUGGUAGCCGCAAAUGGUGGCUAUAAGGGUCCUUAAAUAGGUCCCAAACCCGAGAAAUUAGGGUUUCAUUAAAUAGCAUGGACUCGCCGAGUCCUCCAUUAAAUCAAACCAACACAUGUGCGAUCCUACUCGGCGAGUCUGAGCGCCUACUCGCCGAGUCCCUCUCUAAUAUUCAAUAUAAAUACUUAAAAUGAGAUAGUAGGGAAUCCGGAUGUUACAAUUCUCCCCCACUAGAAUCAGACUUCGCCCUCGAAGUCCUGCUCGGCAAACAACUCUAGAUGUUGCUCCCGCAUCUCCAACUUCGACUCCCAGGUCAGCUCGGACCCAUUCCGAAGUUGCCACUGGACCUGCACCAGAGGCACUUCCUUGUUCCUCAUAACCUUGAUCUUCCNAGCAUAGUUCAGGCUCGCAUCUACUUGAAUAUCCUCCAGCAGUACCACUGCCGACUCGUCGGCUAUACACUUCCUCAACUGAGACAUGUGGAAGGUAUCAUGAAUCUGGCUCAACUCCGUAGGUAGCUCUAACUGAUAUGCUACCUUGCCCACCCUUGCGGUCACCAUAAAUAGACCGAUCUACCGGGGCCCCAGCUUGCCCCUCUUCCUGAAUCGGAUCAGUCCUUUCCAAGGAGAUAAUUUCAGGAGUACGAAGUCCCUCACCUGGAACUCCAGCUAGGAUCGUCGCCGAUCCGCAUAACUCUUAUGACGACUCUAAGCCGUCAAUAACCUCUGUCCAACCAAUUGUAUCUGCUCUGCCGUCUGAAGUACUAUCUCAGUGCUACCCAGCACACACUGCCCUACCUCUCCCCAGCAAAUGGGAGUCUGACACCUCCUCCCAUACAACAACUCGAAGGGAGGCAUACCAAUACUAGAAUGACGGCUGUUGUUGUAUGAAAACUCAUCCAAUGGCAGAUACAUGUCCCAAAUUCCUCCGAAGUCCAACACAUAUGCUCCGAGCAUGUCCUCCAGCAUCUGAAUCGUCCGCUCACUCUGUCCGUCCGACUGGGGGUGGUAGACGGUACUGAAAUGCAACCUGGUACCCAACUCCUCGUGGAACUUCUUCCAGAACCUGGAAGUGAAACGUACUACCUCAUAUGACACAAUCGAGAUCGUUACCCCAUGCCGCGAUAUCACCUCCCUCACAUACAACUCUGACAACCUCUCGGUAGAAGAGCUCUCACGGAUAGCAAUAAAAUGUGCGCUCUUUGUCAGCCGGUUGACGAUCACCCAAAUUGCAUCGACACCCCACGCGGUCCUCGGUAAUUUGGUGAUGAAAUCCAUGGUAAUCUGUUCCCACUUCCACUGGGGAACUUCAAGCGGCUGCAACUUGCCAUGCGGACGCUGGUGCUCGGCCUUAACCUUGCGAUAUGUCAAGCACCUCUCAACAAACCACGUGACAUCCCUCUUCAUACAGGGCCACCAAUAAUCUCUCUUCAGGUCCAAAUACAUCUUCGUGGCCCCGGGAUGGAUCGAGAAUCUCGAUCUAUGCGCCUCCUCCAUUAGAAUGGUACAUGCUUGUCCUGUAUACAGCACCCAAAUCCGACCUUGAAAGGUCAUCAGCCCUCGACUAUCGGUAACAAACCCAGGUACCUGUCCAAUCACCCGCUCCCUCUUGCGGUUCUCCGAUCUCACGGCUUCAGCCUCGGCCUCCCGAAUGGUGUCCAACACCGGAGACAUCACUGUCAGUCUCAUACAAGUGCCUCGAAUCUGGGCACUGUCCGCCCUUCCGCUCAGCGCAUCAGUUACAACAUUAGCUUUGCCCAGGUGGUACAGGAUCUCACAAUCGUAAUCCUUUACCAUGUCCAACCAUCUCCUCUGACGCAUAUUCAGAUUGGACUGAUCCAUCAAAUACUUCAGGCUCUUGUGGUACAUGUAUAUUAUACACUGAACCCCAUACAAAUAGUGAUGCCAUAUCUUGAGGGCAAACAUUACUGCCCCCAACUCCAGAUCGUGGGUAGGAUACCUUGUCACAUGAGGCUUCAGCUGCCUUGAUGCAUACGCUAUCGCAUGCCCCCUCUGCAUAAGUACUGCACCCAACCUCGAUAUUGAUGCGUCACAAUACACCACAAAAUCCUCCAUCCCUUACGGGAGGGCUAACACAGGGGCUUCACAUAACUUCUGGUGAAGUGUCUCAAACGAGGUCUGCUGCUCCAGACCCCAUGAAAAAGCAACACCCUUCCGGGUCAACCUGGUGAGAGGCAUGGCGAUCUUGGAGAAGUCUCUGAUAAAUCUGCAAUAGUAGUCGGCCGAUCCUAGAAAACUCCUGAUCUCGGUGGGAGAUCUCGGCACCUCCCAACUCAUAACCGCCUCAAUCUUGGCCGGAUCGACCAAAAUCCCAUCCUGGUUGACAAGAUGCCCCAAGAACUGGACCUCUCGUAACUAGAACUCGCACUUGGAGAUUUUGGCAUAAAGCCUCUCCGUCCUCAAUACUCCGAGAAUCUCUCUUAGAUGCUCCUCUCUAGAUCUCGAAUACACUAGUAUAUCGCCGAUGAACACGAUCACCAAACGAUCUAGCAUCGGUCUACACACCCUGUUCAUGAGAUCCGUGAACGCUGCUGGUGCCUUGGUAAGCCCGAAAGGCAUCACCACGAACUCGUAAUGCCCAUAAUGAUUCCUGAACACCAUCUUCUGGAUAUCCUCAGCACGCACUCUCAUCUGGUGAUAUCCAGACCUCAGAUCAAUCUUGGCAAACCAUGACGCUCCCUACAACUGAUCGAACAAAUCGUCGAUCCUCGAUAAUGGAUAAAGGUUCUUGACCGUCAACUUGUUUAACUGCCGGUAAUCAAUACAUAUCCGGUGUGAACCAUCCUUUUUCCUGACAAAAAGGAUCGGUGCUCCCCAUGGCGAGCUACUCGGUCGAAUAAACCCCUUCCCCAACAGCUCCUGAAGCUGCGAGGAUAACUCCUGCAUUUCUGGCGGUGCAAGGCGAUAAGGCGCCUUGGCGAUAGGCGCUACCCCCGAAACCAAAUCGAUGCGGAACUCUACCUGCCUCUCGGGAGGCACACCCGACAACUCCUCGGGAAAAACAUCCAGGAACUCGCGCACUAUCGGAAAGUCAUCCACCGAACUUGGCCCCUCCGUGGCCCCUCGUGUGGCCAUCACAUAGGCUACAAACCCGCUGCAGCCCUGCUGCAAACUCUGUCUCGCUCUGGCAGCCGAACAAAACAUUGAUCCAGAAUGAGUACCCUCGCCGUACACUGAAAGUACUCCCUAACUAGGGUCUCGUAUCGUCACCAGCUGACGCUCACAGUCUAUAACAGCCCAGAAUCGGCUCAACCAAUCCAUGCCCACUAUAACACACACGUCCCCCAUCGCUAUCGGGACCAGAUUUAUCGGAAACUCAAUACCGAAGAUCUCGAGUUCACAUCCUCGUAUCACCUCCGCAGCAUACACCGCUCGCUCGUCGGAGAUGGAAACUCGUAGAGGUCGAAUCAACACCUCUCAUCUACUACUGAUGUGCCGACUAAAUGCUAUCUACACAAAUGAUCGACUCGCACCCGAGUCAAAUAACACUAAGGCAGGUAUAGAACUCACAAGAAAAGUACCUACGCAUAUCAUCAUAUAAGCACAAUAUCUCAACUCAACAUAAAAUAAAUAAGAAUACAUACCAGCCACUACAUCAGACGUUGCACGGACCUCCUCCGCUGUCAAUUGGAAAGCUCUCCCGCGAGCCUUUGGUGCCUCAGCCUUCACUGGCUGAACCUCGAUAACCCUAGCAGCAGGUGUAGAUCCAUGUGCUGAUCCCUGAUGUAACUGCGGGCACUCGGCCUUCCGAUGGCUAGUCUGGUUGCAAUGAAAGCAAACCAUAAAUCCCUUGGGGCAAUCUUUGGCGAUAUGCCCAUCCUUGCCACAUUUGUAGUAAGCACCCGAUCGACAGACCCAUCAUGACCCUUGUCGUACUUUCCGCAAGUGCGGCCCUUCUGGCUUCCAGAUCUCGUAUCAACGGACUUGGCCCGCUUGGCUUCCGUCUAAGACUGUGCUGGCCGCCGAUCCAUCCUCUGAGACUCGGCCUCCUCCCUGGCCUGAGUCUCCAACUCAAUCUCCCUCUUUCGGGCCUUAACCUGGAGCUCAGCAAAUGUCCGGUAAGUCGAGUUCGUCAUAAACUCCCGUAUAUCCCACUUCAAAACGCCCAAAUACCGGCUCAGGGCAGAACACCGCCCUCUCAUGAAACUUCCUGGUAACCACAGUAACCGAAUCAGUACCCUGAUUGAGGGUCAAGAGCGCCUGCACCAACCGUUCCCUCUCCACAGGGGGAACAUACUCAUCUCUGAACAUGGUGGUGAACCUCUCCCAGGUCACCGCUGAAAUCUCUACAAGAGUGAAGCACGACGUCACGAACUUCCACCAAUCCUUUGCUCCCAAUCGAAGCUGGUUCAACACGAACCGUACCCUCAUAUGCUCUGGACAUGAACACGUGUAGAAGCAUCCCUCGAUAUAAGCAAUCCAUCUCAUCGCAGCGAUCGGAUCCUGCGUUCCAUCAAACUCCGGUGGCUUCGUGUUGCUGAACUCUCAAAGCAACAACGAGUCACCUCCCUGAGGACUAGCAGCAGCCACAGCUGCAGAAGCAGUAGCCUCAGUCACCGCGGCGUAUCGCUCAUCGAAAGUCUCAAUCAAUGUGGUGUUGAUAGACCCAAACAUCUCCAGAAUCUCAGCCCUGAUCACCGCCACCACCUCAUUGUGGAUCAUCUGACGAAGCUCCUUGUUACUCAAGCCACUCGGCUCAGGUCUGUGAUGUGUCCCAACCAUGAUGUCUCUGAAAUAUAAUAUAAACAAUAUCAGAGACUCGCUCGAGUAAACUCGCACUCGAUAACUCACCACACUUGUUCCUUGGUACCCAAAGGAUUCUUACUUAGGGUGCGCACUGCUCCGGUGUCUUCAGUAGUACGGGCCCUAUACUACCGUCCACACAACAUCAGCAUUCACUCCAAGUCCUCCUCAAUGGAUCCCAGAUUACAAGCACUCUAUAUCUCACUGGCAUAGGCUACGCUUCGGUAACCUCUCAUCAGCUCCUCACUGCUACCUACUCGCUCUCAAGCAUCACAUAGCAGCAAAAUCCUUCCUAGGCUAAGGCAUCACAAAUCAGGCCACUCUAGUCCUAAUAUGAAUACUUAGCCUACUCUAGCAUGCAUAUCAUAUCAUAACAUAUCUCAUAACACAUAAUCUAAGGGUAUGUUGGGAAAUCUCCAUUCAGGCGCAGGCUGAUCGUACACACUGCUUCCUUCUUCCUUUCUCAAAAUCUUUCACUUUCUUAGAAAAAUUGUUUAUUUUUUGAAAAACUUUCUCAAUUCCUUAGUUUGAGUUCAGAUCCAUCCGAAGAUGCACCCGAAUCCCUGAAAACAAGGCUCUGAUACCAACUUGUAACGACGUAAAUUUUCAAAACAAUCUUUCAUUUUAAAACCUACUUUCAUUCACACGAUAAUCAUAAAAACAUAAUCUAUCCACUGUAACAUAACAAAACAUGUCCCAAGAUCUCAAUAUCAUAAACUCUAUAAGUGUGUACGGAUCUUGCCGGCGCCUUCCCGCGAUCCUCGCUCGCUCCUGAAACACAUAACAUAAGAACUGUAAGCAUAAAUGCUUAGUGAGUUCCCCAAAAUACCACAUACCCCACAUACGUCUUUCUAGGCCAUAACUUUGU